This 460-nucleotide ribosomal RNA is filed under the name uncultured bacterium. Its description in RNAcentral is "partial 16S ribosomal RNA". It matches the Rfam family "Bacterial small subunit ribosomal RNA", at positions 338 to 795 of the family's 1533-position model. The record is from RNAcentral.
CCUACGGGAGGCAGCAGUGAGGAAUAUUGGUCAAUGGCCGGAAGGCUGAACCAGCCAUGCCGCGUGAAGGUCAGUGCCCUAUGGGCUUUAAACUUCUUUUGUGCGGGAGCAAUAAUGGUCACGUGUGGCCAGACGAGAGUACCGUACGAAUAAGCAUCGGCUAACUCCGUGCCAGCAGCCGCGGUAAUACGGGGGAUUCAAGCGUUAUCCGGAUUUAUUUGGUUUAAAGGGUGCGUAGGCUGGGAGGUAAGUCAGAGGUGAAAUGCCCCGGCUCAACGGGGUGAAGUGCCAUUGAUACUGCCUUGCUGGAAUGCGGAUGCCGUGGGAGGAAUGUGUGGUGUAGCGGUGAAAUGCAUAGAUAUCACACAGAACACCGAUUGCGAAGGCAUCUCACGAAUCCGCGAUUGACGCUGAUGCACGAAAGCGUGGGUAUCAAACAGGAUUAGAUACCCGUGUAGUC